CCGGGUAUGGAGACAGAGCAACGAGACGCUACCAGUUUCUGAUUGGACAGUCGGCAGAGCGUGCAAAACUGCUGCUCCUGGAGGGGAAAGUACAAACGCAUGGCGCGAGAAUGGUGACAAAGACUUUGCGAGGACCGGAGUCUACAUGGUAUUGCCAAUCAGAGCCUCUCAGCUUGUAGUUGGCCGUCACUGAUAAACGAUGGGGAAUAGCAGACUGUUCGCCCUUCUGCAGGCUGCCUGCCAAUGCAUGCUUGUUGCAACCCGUGUUUUGACAACUCAAUGGGAACUUGCCUGCCUGCCUGCCUGCCUGCCUGCCUGCCUGCCUGCCUGCCUGCCUGCCUGCCUGCCUGCCUGCCUGCCUGCCCGCCAAUCUGAAUGAUUCCAAAUACAUUUGAUUGACAACUAAGAGAUAUGCUAACUGUGGAUAACGGUCAUUCAAGUUCAGCAUAGCUACCUAGCAAAGUGAUUCACAUUUCUUGUUAGGUAACCAAAUGACACCUGCAUCUCCAGCAGUAGAACCGAAAAAAGAUAUGGAGGUGAAAGGUCGUCCUCUCACCCACUUGUACAAUGACUGGACAUCCUCCCAGCAGCUAGCUAACAUUAGGUGCCGUGUUUAGCUUGCUAAAUAAACAACUACAUAAAUAGAUAAGCUAGCCUAUUAGCCCCGUUUUAACUGACUUGCGAUCAUUGCCCUUGCUAGUUUGAUUGUAUUGAUAUUCCCAGCCUUCAGUAACAUUUGUCAGUUUUUGUCCACAAUAUUGAUUAAUUGAAACUGAAACUGCAUCCUGAAUGGCUGGAGGCAGCAACGUACCAGACCAGCUGUGCUUUACAACCUUAUAGCAAUAUUUGUUAGACUACAAAGAAAUGUAUUGGUGAAUUGUAUUAAACUGCAUAUCCAUC
Oncorhynchus mykiss (rainbow trout) is the source of this 900-nucleotide non-coding RNA. The record is from RefSeq and is a predicted model, not a curated record. NCBI's taxonomy places the organism in Eukaryota, Metazoa, Chordata, Actinopteri, Salmoniformes, Salmonidae.